UUAAAGAAAAUAAAUUUGACAUCAAAAUCCUAUCAUAAUGUGAUAUUUUUCAUAAUAUGUUAUCAAGUUGAAUAUGAGAUAUAAAAUUUAAUAAGAAUAAGAAUUAAUUUAGUUAUAUCAAGAAUAAGCAAGAAAUAAAAUUAAAAAAUUUAGCAUAUAAUAAGGGGGAGCAAAUUUUGAAUAAGAAUUGAACUCAAUUGUUUAUGAUAUUAAGGGGGAGUUUAAUAUUUUUGGAUUGUUAAAGAAAAAAAUUUACUCUCUUGAUCUUAUUGAUUAUUUUGUUUAAGUUAUUCUUUUUCAUGAUAUCAAAAAGGGGGA
This 318-nucleotide long non-coding RNA is filed under the name Elaeis guineensis (African oil palm). RNAcentral describes it as "long non-coding RNA (EGUI_LNC063947)". Lineage: Eukaryota; Viridiplantae; Streptophyta; Magnoliopsida; Arecales; Arecaceae. The record is from RNAcentral.